AUUGUCUGAAAAGGGUAUGUGAAAUCUUGGCUUUUAGCCAUUAUUCAGAGACCGGUUAAGUGCACACGUCCCUGGAAAUCCCCAAGUGAAACUGCAGUGAAGGGACUUAAUAUGUUACAAGUGGAAGAGGUGGUCAGUUCCUGAGAGGGAGACUUGCGGCCUGGGAAUUCAUUUCUCCCAGGAAGCUACCUUCCAAGUGCCCACCUUCACCUGAGGACAGUCCUCCAGUCAGUCACGUGCCCUCUGUACAUUCACUCAUGUCGCAAACACUUAUCGAGCACCUACUUGGUGCUGGGUGUGUAGGAUUUCACAGUUUAAUAUUUCUCUGCCCUCAUGGAGCUUGUAUGCCAGCAGGGGAGAAAGAACAAUAAGUAAAUACAUCUGUAAUAUGUCAGGAAAAGGAAGAAGGAGUUUAAAACAUGUAAAUGUGAUGGACGGCAAGGAGACCUCAGAAAUGGGUGGUGAUUUAAGAGAGGAGUCAGGAAGGAAUUCUCUUGUGCUACAGUAGGUUGAGGAUCUGGAAUGGUCACUGUAGCGGCUCGGGUUGCUGCUGUGGUGUGGAUUUGAUCCUGGCCCAGGAACUUCUACCUCUGCAGGUGCUGUCAAAAAGAGUCAGGAAACGUCUCUCUGGGAAGGUGAGGUUUGAGCAGACUGGAAUGAUGGGAGAGUAUGAAACCUGUGAGUGUCUGGGGAGAAGGAUGUUCCAUACAGAAUGACCAACCAACACAAGAGUGAGCUUGGCCCAUUCUAGGAAAAUCACGCAGGACAAUUGGACCAAACUGAAGAGAAUGAGGCAGGGAGUGAAAGGAGAUGCAACUGGAGAGGUGGGUACGAGCUGGACGUCUUAGACCUUACGGGAUCUGGAGGAGCAUUCUGGUUGCUAUCUGGAAACCCUGAUCACUGAGGAACUGAGGAGUGAAGAAGGAAUUGGGGAGUCCAAGUGCAAGACUGUUGCAGGGAUGUAGGUGAGUAGUGGUGGUUGCUUUGGUCUAGGUGGUAGCAGUGGAAAUGGUGAAAGGUAGUGGGUUUGAAAUAAAUUUGGAAUCCAGUUGGGUGAAUUGGAUAUGGGUUGUAAAGAGAAGAGUAAAAGUCUUCUAUGUUUUAUUUUUAUUAUUGUUUUCUUUUUUAGCCACCCCGUGGCAUAUGGAGUUCCUGGCCAGGGAUCAGAUCUGAGUCACCUUUGCAACCUACACCAUGUCUGCGGCAAUGCUGUAUCCUUAACCCACAGUGCUGGGCCAGGGAUCAAACCUGUGUCCCAGCGCUGCAGAGACACUGCCAAUCCCAUUGCACCACAGUGGGAACUCCAGAAAAAGUGUCCUGUGUUUUGAGUCUGAUAAACCAGGUGAAUAUUUACAGGAACGAGGAAGGCUGGAGGGAGGGCUGACGAGGGUGAGGGGUUCACCAAGCAUAGAUGGCUAGAGAUGAUGGGAAUUGAGGGGACAGGUCAGGGAUCAAGAUGUGGAGUUGAGAUUCUUAAGUGUCUAGAUGUAUUUAAAGCCUGGAUUUGAGUAAGAUCAUCCUUAGGGAGAAAAGUAGAUACAUGAGAGAGUUGAAGACUGAGCCCUGAGAUGUUGGGAGGAGGAGGAAGGGUCAUCCAUAGAGAUGGGGAAGAGACUUGCAGUGAUCUCUGGAGAGUUUUCAAGGAAGGGGGUUGAUUGCUUCAGUAAUACUUCAGUGAUGAUGGAGACCACUGGUGUCUGGACAAAAUCAAGUUCAGGGGCAUAGUAGGGGUGAGCACUUGAUCGGUGUGAAUUGAAACCACAAUGAGAAGUAAGGAAAUGAAGAUAUAAGUAUAAAUAAUUCUUUUUUUCCGGAAGAUUUCAUGUUUUUUUUCUUUCUAAAUUUAAAGUGUAGGUGAUCUAUAAUGUGCCAAUUUCUGCUGUACAGCAAAGUGAACCAGUCAUACAUGUAUGUACUUUCCUUUUCUUAAAAAAUAUGGAAUACUUCACAAAUGUUAUCCCCAUGCUGGGGCCAUGCUAAUCUCUGUAUCGUUCUAAUUUAAGUCUGUGUGCUGCCCAUGGGAGCGUCUAGACAGUUCUAUUUAGAAGUUUUACUAUAGGGGAGUUCCCGUCAUGGCUCAGUGGUUAACAAAUCUGACUAGGAACCAUGAGGUUGUGGGUUUGAUCCCUGGCCGCACCCAGUGGGUUAAGGAUCUGGCGCUGCCAUGAGCUGUGGUGUAGGUCACAGAUUGUGGCUCUGAUCUGGUGUUGCUGUGGCUCUGGCAUAGGCUGGUGGCUACAGCUCCAAUUAGACCCCUAGCCUAGGAACCUCCAUAUGCUGCGGGUACAGCUGUAGAAAAGACAGAGACAAAAAAGAAAAAAAAAAAA
RNAcentral lists this long non-coding RNA (2327 nucleotides) under Sus scrofa (pig). RNAcentral's name for it is "lncRNA (ENSSSCG00055030067.1)". The record is from RNAcentral. Lineage: Eukaryota; Metazoa; Chordata; Mammalia; Artiodactyla; Suidae.